Long non-coding RNA from Homo sapiens (human), 570 nucleotides. Lineage: Eukaryota; Metazoa; Chordata; Mammalia; Primates; Hominidae. The record is from Ensembl.
AGUGUUCUUCAUGUAAGCUGGAAAAAAUCUGGUAGAAGACUAGUUGUUGACAGUUUGAAUUAUAGAAUCAAAACACCAGGGUAAAAGGUAGGGUUUUCAGUAUACCACAUGUACAGACUCCUCUGUGAACUGGAAAGAACUUCCUAAUGUAACCAAAGGGAAUUUUCUGUCUCUGGUCUCUCUUGCCAAAGCAAUGAGGUCACACCUGUGUUCAUGAUUUAUUGAGCCACUACAGUGCACACAGAACUAUGCAGGACAACCUGAAAGAAGGAUCACAUAUGCUUCCUCUUCUCAAGAAUUUCAUUUGAUUAAAAAGUAAGAUUAGGCCAGGCGUGGUGGCUCACGCCUGUAAUCCCAACACUGUGGGAGGCUGAGACUACAGGCACAUGCCAACACACCAGGCUAAUUUUUCCUAUUUUUUGUAAAGACAGGGUCUCACUAUGUUGACUAGGCUGGUCUCGAACUCCUGGGCUCAAGGGAUCCUCUCACCUCCGCCUCCCAAAUGUUGGGAUUACAGGUAUAACCCAUCGUGCCCAUCUUGCCCUUCACUUUUUAUUCCAAAUGUCAGCA